UACGUAGGGCGCAAGCGUUGUCCGGAAUUAUUGGGCGUAAAGAGCUCGUAGGCGGUUUGUCGCGUCUGCUGUGAAAUCCCGAGGCUCAACCUCGGGUCUGCAGUGGGUACGGGCAGACUGGAGUGCGGUAGGGGAGAAUGGAAUUCCUGGUGUAGCGGUGGAAUGCGCAGAUAUCAGGAGGAACACCGAUGGCGAAGGCAGUUCUCUGGGCCGUAACUGACGCUGAUGCGCGAAAGCGUGGGGAGCAAACAGG
This 253-nucleotide ribosomal RNA is filed under the name uncultured bacterium. RNAcentral describes it as "partial 16S ribosomal RNA". It matches the Rfam family "Bacterial small subunit ribosomal RNA", at positions 524 to 776 of the family's 1533-position model. The record is from RNAcentral.